CCCUUAGAUGUUCUGGGCCGCACACGCGCUACACUGAAGGAGGCAGCGUGUACUCCUGGAUCGAAAGAUUUGGGUAACCCGCGAAUCUCCUUCGUGCUAGGGAUUGAGGUUUGCAAUUAUCCUUCAUGAACGAGGAAUUCCCAGUAAGUGCAAGUCAUAAGCUUGCGCUGACUACGUCCCUGCCCUUUGUACACACCGCCCGUCGCUACUACCGAUUGAAUGAUUUAGUGAGGACUUCGGACUGGGACCGAUGCGGCUUUCGGGCUGCGUCGGUAUUCUGGAAAGAUGGCCAAACUGUAUCAUUUAGAGGAAGUAAAANUCGUANCA
This 327-nucleotide ribosomal RNA is filed under the name uncultured eukaryote. Its description in RNAcentral is "partial 18S ribosomal RNA". It matches the Rfam family "Eukaryotic small subunit ribosomal RNA", at positions 1470 to 1796 of the family's 1831-position model. The record is from RNAcentral.